Molecule: long non-coding RNA, 451 nt
Filed under: Rattus norvegicus (Norway rat)
Lineage: Eukaryota; Metazoa; Chordata; Mammalia; Rodentia; Muridae
Description: long non-coding RNA NONRATT031913
Source: RNAcentral
CCAGCAAGCAAGGACGACAGUGUUAGGAAACGAUCUAGGAUGUGAUAUGGGUGUGGCACUGUGGAUCAAAGAGAAGGACUCGGAUCUGGAUCAGCCCCAAGGAUGAUUCCGAGGAUGUUAACAGAGGCCUCCUUUCAGUCCAAGUAUGUGCCGGAUUUGACUCCAGACCAAACAUCCUCAUGCAUGAAAAAGAAGCCACGUCUAGAGCCAACAACCUCCAGAAGCAAAAAGAAGAGCUGUAAAGUCUAUCUCAUUAGCCCAGCCUGCUUUGCUUCUCUCUGGUGAGACCCAGGUUACACACUCUCCCGUAAACGCAUUCACAGCAAUGAGAAAGGAACCAAGCUUUCCCUCGGGCUGUGGUUUCUUCACUGAGUCUUGUGAAUAAAGUAUAGGCGUCAGAGUAAAACCUGAGCCAUGACCUCAAGGAAGAAAAAGAGCAGCAUGUGGGGCC